GCCGGGAGUCGUGGCGUGCUCCUGUAAUCCAGCUACUUGGAGGCCGGGUACAGAGGAUGUUUCUGGUUCGGGGGGGUCCCAAGUCGAAUGACUCGCGCAUUUUUCACGAUCGUCGGGAAUAUCUCGGUAGUCGA
RNAcentral lists this non-coding RNA (134 nucleotides) under Pediculus humanus corporis (human body louse). Lineage: Eukaryota; Metazoa; Arthropoda; Insecta; Psocodea; Pediculidae. The record is from RNAcentral.